UCGGAGAGCACUUCGGAUUCCACGAAUUGAGCGAAAACAAUAAUAACUACAGAAUUUUUUUCAAAGGAAAAUCGAAUUAAUGGAUACGAAUAAACAUGUAUGUAUAAUGUAUGUAUAGGCGGUGUGUGUGAUUGGGAGGAGUGGCCCGCCGGAAAAUAUUAAACUAAUCAGAAAUAUGAAAAUGAAGCCCAGUCUCCGCGAAGCUAUAGACUUGCUAUACAAGGAAGCUACCACAGCCGCCACUGAGUCCUACACGCGCCUCCUCCUUGAUUGCAUUCGCAACCGAGAUGCCCACCAAGCGAAGAGACUCCAAGCCCACAUGGAAUACCAAAUGCAUUCACCCACUACAGCAUUCUUUUACAACCGCCUCUUACAGCUCUAUGUCCAGUCGGGUUGGCUUUCAGACGCCCGUAAUCUGUUUGAUAAAAUGUCCAAAAGGGAUAUCUUUUCAUACAAUGUGAUGCUUUCGGGUUAUUCUAAAGUGGAUUCUGUUGAAGAUUUGAAGGAGUUUUUUGGCUCAAUGCCUUUUCGCGAUUCAGUUUCGUAUAAUAUUGUGAUUGCGGGAUUGGGGUCUAAUGGGUGCGAAAAGAAUGCUUUGGAAUUCUUCGUGAAAAUGCAGAGAGAAAGAAUUGUUCCAACAGAGUACACUUAUGUUAGUCUUUUGAAAGUUUGUACCAAAUUGAUGUAUUUUGAAAGUGGUAAACAAAUUCUCUGCAAGAUUUUUGUUUCUGGAUUAUGGAAUAAGGCCAAUGUGUUUGUUUUGAAUGCCUUGUGUGAUUUUUAUGCCAAGUGUGGUAAGAUUGACAUGGCAGAAUGGUUGUUUGAUAAGAUUGUUCAUAAGAAUUUGGUUUCAUGGAAUUUGAUGAUUUCAGGGUAUUUGAGAAACGGACAACCCAUGAAAUGCAUUAAGAUGUUUGAUGAGAUGAAAGUUUUGGGUUUGAAAAUGGAUCAAGUUACCAUUUCUAAUGUCAUUGGUGCCUUUUUUAAGAUCGGGUGUGUAGAUGAGGCACGUAGAGCUUUUAGGCAGAUUAAAGAGAAGGAUAAGGUUUGUUGGACAGCUAUGAUUGUGGGGUAUGGGCAAAUUGGGCUAGAAGAGAAUGCAUUGAUGUUGUUCAGGGAGAUGCUAUUAGAAAAUGUGAGGCCUGAUAAGUUUACCAUGUCAACCAUGAUUAGUUCGUGUGCCAAAUUGGCUUCUAUGGUCGAAGGUCAGGUAAUGCACGGAAGGACUGUGCACAUGGGAGUUGAAAAUGAUUUGCUUGUUUCUAGUGCCCUUGUUGAUAUGUAUUCUAAAUGUGGAGAAAUUACACAUGCUUGGGUUGUUUUUUAUGAGAUGCCAGUCAAAAGUGUGGUCUCUUGGAAUUCCAUGCUUGUAGGCUAUGCCCAAAAUGGCAAAGAUCUUGAAGCGUUGGCCCUUUAUGAAGAAAUGCUCCGGUUGGACAUAAAACCAGAAAAUAUUACCUUUGUUGGUGUGUUGUCUGCUUGCAUUCAUGCAGGUCUUACAGAUCAGGGAGAGCGAUAUUUUCAAUCAAUCAAAGAGAUACAUGGGAUGACACCGAGUUUGGAUCAUUAUGUAUGCAUGAUUACUCUUCUUGGCCGUUCUGGUAACAUAGACAAAGCAACAGAUCUUAUAAGAGGGAUGCCACACAAACCAAAUCACAUGAUUUGGUCAACCUUUUUAUCAGUUUGCAGGAAGAAUGCAGAUAUCAAACAUGCAGAAAUGGCAGCAGAAAACCUUUUUAAGUUGGAUCCACUCAAUGCUGAACCUUAUAUAAUCCUCUCCAACAUGUAUGCUCAUCAUGGAAGAUGGAAAGAUGUGGCAUUCAUUAGGUCUCUUAUGAAAAACAAGCAGGUUAAAAAAUUCACUGCUUACAGUUGGAUUCAGCUUGACGGAAAGGUCUAUAAAUUUCUUUCAGGAGAUCGAAGUCAUCCUGAAUCAGAACUUAUACAUCUAGAACUAGAUUCGCUGAUAAAAAAGCUACAAGAAGCUGGAUUUGCACCAAAUAAAAGUUUUGUUUUACACAAUGUGGGGGAAGAUGAGAAACUCGAAUCUAUAUGCCAUCACAGUGAGAAACUUGCCCUUGCUUUUGGAUUGAUUAGAAAAUCUUCUUCAGCAUCGCCUAUUAGGAUUAUAAAGAAUAUCCGCAUUUGUGGAGAUUGCCAUCUGUUUAUGAAGUUUGUAUCCAAAAUUCUUAGUCGGCAUAUCAUUUUAAGAGAUGCUAACAGAUUUCAUCAUUUCGUUGGAGGCCAGUGCUCAUGCAAGGACCUUUGGUGAUCAUUCUACCAACUAUCAGCCUCAUGAAUUCUAGCAACUAUCAGCCUCAUGAAAGCCAAUAGUGGCAGGUAAACAUGGCAGAAACUUGCACGAGCAUCCAUGGAAUAUGUUGAAGAGAGAAAUGAUUGGUUGAGCUGGAACUUUAUGCAGGCUCAGUGACCUUAGCAGUGUAAACUUUGAGCUGAGCAGAUACAUUGCGCAGCUUUCGAUGAAUAAGAUGUUAGAAUAUUACACAACUCUGGAGUUUUCCUGAAAAUGAUUCGACUGAUAGUAGGCCUCUUUGGAAAUAUUCUAGGUGAGUAAUUACUGAAGCUAGAUUGUUCUAAAUUUCACAGCUUCUCCUGUUACAUAAUAUAUUUUCUCAUCCUAAUAUCGGUCAAUUUUUAUAUCUGGGUGUUACAAUUUACAUGUAACAAAUGCUUUGGCUGUUGACUUGGUAUAUAAUAUACUGAAUUAAAAGUGCUUCUUUAGUUAACUUGGAAAAAUGCUUUCCUGAUUGAACGCUGUUGUUGACUUAUUUAAUUUCUGUUGUCAUGCUGUCUAAAAGAGACAGGUGAGCACUGGAUUGAUUCUGAGGCCACUCCUACCAUGCUGAAUUGCCUCACGUACUAACUUUCAUAUUACAUUUGCAAUUUGUUUUUGAACGUGAUGCUUAUUUGAAGACAGAUGUUAAAGACGACAAUAGGUUGAGGCAUACUGAUUGGAAAGAGAUAUUUCAAGCUUGCCCACUUUAUAUAUUGUUAAUUUUCAAAACCAUUAUGUUUCAUACUUAUUUGAAGGGGCAAGACUGAGCAUAAAAUAUUUAUUUCCGAACCAGCUUACUGUGGGUGAAAGAUAACUUACCACUAAUGGAUCAUGCUUGUCAGCAAGUUAUGCUGAUUUUUUAAACUUACAGCAGAUCCAUUGUGUAUAUAAUGAUAUCUAAUGUGCUCUCGGAGAUCUAUCGUAUCUUACUUUUGGUGCUCAUCCUCUCUAUGUUUAGCAUUCCAAGGGUUGAUGGUUCAUUACUUGCAAAAUUUUCUGUUUUUCCUUUAUUGCUUUGACCUCAGUAUAAAGCUAUCAAUUGAACUCAGAGAUAUAGAAUUGAAAGGGACAAGCAUUCCAAGCAGGUAUUUGUGAAAUUUUAUUAUGUCAAAUAAAUGCUCAAAAUAUAAAUUUUCAAAUUUUUUUUGGCCGAACUGAUGAUAUGAAAUAAGGAAGGAUUAUUUCAUCACAUCUCUUUUUUCUGACUUGUAUUAUUCACUCAGUCACUGAUGACUGACAUGUUUAUUUUUGCUACAUUACCCGUUCUAUAUUGAAACCCAAUGCUAAUUGUUUAUAUUAUUGCGUUGAGUUUGACAUAGAGACAAGACUGCACCAGGAGAUUUACUACAAAGUGCUUUUGAAACUAUGUUUAAUGCUUGAACAUAAGUUGAAUUUAGUUCGUUUGAGUUAUUCAUGGUGGCUCUAUUUUGCUUUUUCCAUUUUCAUUUUGUAGGUAUUCACCACACACAGGAUGGUCCAGAUAUACAAAUUAAGACCUCCAACGAACAGAAUCUGUGUGAAGACUGAGAAAUCUAAAUUGGUGUGUAAAAGUCCUACUUCGUCUUUUUUUUAUUUCAUGGUAUUCAUAUCAUAGAAGUCCAAUGUCAUUGGCUUCUACACCGCACUUUGCAGAAAACAAGUUCAAAGAGAAGUGGAAUGCUAAAGAAUUGGGCAUUAACUGGCACUUUGUGGUAAUCAUUGGCAUCCAUUCUGUUAUAACAUGGAAGGAUUUGGAUCAGAAGCCUCAUCAAGAGGAUAAACGGAAAGAACUUAGUUCCUUACCUUAAAGAGAUAAAAAAAGAAGCCACAAGAUUUUCCUAUAUCUUCCGUUUCCUCUAGUUUAACAAUCACAUUAAUACUUGAUACGUUGCUUGCAAAUCAACAUCGAGACAAUUUUGAACCUGCUGUGUAGGCUUUUAACUGUCUAAAAAUUGAAUAUAAUCCUAUGCAUCCCGUGAUGUAGGUUCAGUUAGAAAUAUUCUUGGAACAUCUUUGUGCAUUUUUCCAAUCGUAACAGAUUUUUGUCCUGUAAGUUUUCUCCUCAAGGCAUCUUAUUGUUCAAUGAGUUUUUCCUAGCCAUAUUUUGGGCAUUUUAAUUUCAAUUCUUCUAAUUUAUGUA
This 4415-nucleotide long non-coding RNA is filed under the name Olea europaea subsp. europaea. Lineage: Eukaryota; Viridiplantae; Streptophyta; Magnoliopsida; Lamiales; Oleaceae. The record is from RNAcentral.